This 1474-nucleotide ribosomal RNA is filed under the name uncultured Mycobacterium sp. RNAcentral's name for it is "bacterial SSU rRNA". It matches the Rfam family "Bacterial small subunit ribosomal RNA". Lineage: Bacteria; Bacillati; Actinomycetota; Actinomycetes; Mycobacteriales; Mycobacteriaceae. The record is from RNAcentral.
AGAGUUUGAUCAUGGCUCAGGACGAACGCCGGCGGCGUGCUUAACACAUGCAAGUCGAACGGAAAGGCCCUUCGGGGUACUCGAGUGGCGAACGGGUGAGUAACACGUGGGUGAUCUGCCCUGCACUCUGGGAUAAGCCUGGGAAACUGGGUCUAAUACCGGAUAGGACCACACACUUCAUGGUGAGUGGUGCAAAGCUUUUGCGGUGUGGGAUGAGCCCGCGGCCUAUCAGCUUGUUGGUGGGGUAAUGGCCCACCAAGGCGACGACGGGUAGCCGGCCUGAGAGGGUGACCGGCCACACUGGGACUGAGAUACGGCCCAGACUCCUACGGGAGGCAGCAGUGGGGAAUAUUGCACAAUGGGCGCAAGCCUGAUGCAGCGACGCCGCGUGAGGGAUGACGGCCUUCGGGUUGUAUACCUCUUUCAGUAGGGACGAAGCGAAAGUGACGGUACCUACAGAAGAAGGACCGGCCAACUACGUGCCAGCAGCCGCGGUAAUACGUAGGGUCCGAGCGUUGUCCGGAAUUACUGGGCGUAAAGAGCUCGUAGGUGGUUUGUCGCGUUGUUCGUGAAAACUCACAGCUUAACUGUGGGCGUGCGGGCGAUACGGGCAGACUAGAGUACUGCAGGGGAGACUGGAAUUCCUGGUGUAGCGGUGGAAUGCGCAGAUAUCAGGAGGAACACCGGUGGCGAAGGCGGGUCUCUGGGCAGUAACUGACGCUGAGGAGCGAAAGCGUGGGUAGCGAACAGGAUUAGAUACCCUGGUAGUCCACGCCGUAAACGGUGGGUACUAGGUGUGGGUUUCCUUCCUUGGGAUCCGUGCCGUAGCUAACGCAUUAAGUACCCCGCCUGGGGAGUACGGUCGCAAGACUAAAACUCAAAGGAAUUGACGGGGGCCCGCACAAGCGGCGGAGCAUGUGGAUUAAUUCGAUGCAACGCGAAGAACCUUACCUGGGUUUGACAUGCGCAGGACGUAUCUAGAGAUAGGUAUUCCCUUGUGGCCUGCGUGCAGGUGGUGCAUGGCUGUCGUCAGCUCGUGUCGUGAGAUGUUGGGUUAAGUCCCGCAACGAGCGCAACCCUUGUCCUAUGUUGCCAGCGGGUAAUGCCGGGGACUCGUAGGAGACUGCCGGGGUCAACUCGGAGGAAGGUGGGGAUGACGUCAAGUCAUCAUGCCCCUCAUGUCCAGGGCUUCACACAUGCUACAAUGGCCAGUACAGAGGGCUGCGAAGCCGCAAGGUGGAGCGAAUCCCUUAAAGCUGGUCUCAGUUCGGAUUGGGGUCUGCAACUCGACCCCAUGAAGUCGGAGUCGCUAGUAAUCGCAGAUCAGCAACGCUGCGGUGAAUACGUUCCCGGGCCUUGUACACACCGCCCGUCACGUCAUGAAAGUCGGUAACACCCGAAGCCAGUGGCCUAACCUUUUGGAGGGAGCUGUCGAAGGUGGGAUCGGCGAUUGGGACGAAGUCGUAACAAGGUA